This 7487-nucleotide small RNA is filed under the name Rattus norvegicus (Norway rat). RNAcentral's name for it is "uncharacterized LOC102548345". Lineage: Eukaryota; Metazoa; Chordata; Mammalia; Rodentia; Muridae. The record is from RNAcentral.
GAAGCUGAACAACACAGGCAAUACCACGACUACCACCACCAUAACACAAAUCUACAAUCCCCUCCAAUGAACAUUGUUUACUUAGAGCUACUCUUAUUUUGACACUACCACUGUCUUAGUCACCUAGAGCCAAACCCUCACUCUGAUUGUCCUUCCCGUACGUGGUUAGUGUCCAAUUCUCAUCCAUCCACUAAUACAUGUUCCUAAUCACCACACAGGCCUGGCCAAGCAGAGGCUGUACCCAUUUGUCCACAGUGAUUUACCUGAGAACUUAGCACGUGAGUCAGAGAAAAUCAGUCUGAGGUCUUCGUUGAUUUUGUAUAUGCACCAUGAAAGGAAGGCCUCUCCAUCUUUAGAUCUUACACUAUAAACUAUGCUUAAGGGUAAGUACCUUUUCCUCUUUGUAACAUGUGUCUAUAGGGAGAGAGAAUCAAUCUGCAAGAAAAAGGAAGCAGAAACUAAGAGCAAAUGAAUGGAGAGAGUUCUGACCUUGUUUGUGUCUCCUGAAUCCGCCAUGCCUGAAGUCUGCUCUAAGAUCGUCUAACUCAUAAGGGGACAUGUUGGUUGGGUUCUGUCAAACCUAGACAUAUCUGGGAAGAGGGAUUCUUAACUGAGAAAAUUCAUCCAUAAGAUUUACCUGUGGGCACAUCUCUGGGACAUUUUCUUCAUUAAUGCUUGAUGUGAGAGGGCCCAACUCAUGGAAGGGGGUGCCACCCUGAGUAGAAUAAGAAACCCGUUUGUAUAAGAAACCAGGCUGAACAAGCUAGAAGGAACAAGCCAGCAAGCAACAUUCUUCCAUGACCUCUGUGUCAAAUCCUGCCUCCAGGUUCCUGCCUCGAGUUCUUGCUUUGACUUCUCUCAGUAAUGGACUUGGAUGGGGAACUUCAAGCUGAAGUAAAUGCUUUCUUCCCUAAGUUGCUUUGGUUCAUGGUGUUUUAUCACAGCAGUGGAAAACCAACUAAGACAGGCCAAGAGAGUAUCCUCCCCUAACCCAGUCUGAAUCUGGCUUCUUUCCCUUGCACUAAGAUGUCUUCGCUGUCCCUCUACCAGAGAGCAAUGUCAUGUACUCACUCAUGUGCACUCUAGGAGUCCUCUCCACAGAAGUCUUACGAUCAGAGACACCCAGUCAGUGUGUUGCCCUAGACUCCUGGCUUGGCCUCGAGGUGCAGGAUAUAUCCUAACUCUGUGUAAUGAGGAGAAGGGAAAGUGACCUCUGAGGUGGCUGAAACAGAAAGGAAAGUCAGGCGUUAGGAAACUGCAGGGUGACAGCACCUCCGAGCAGGGUGACAGAGAUUUGUUCGUUGAUUGGGAGGACGCUUUAACAAUGGAAGGGAAAGCAAGACAGCGGUUCAGCUGGGUUCUGGGGAGCAGGGGUUGUGCACCUGCAAACCCAUUUAGACAUCAGCCUCACAUUUCCUCGCUGAUUACUUUGUCCUUGUUAAUAGCCGCUGAGAUUUCAUUUUCCCCUCCACCAGUCCUAAUUGCUCGACAUAACAGUAGGCAUCGUGGGAGCCACAAAGAUGAAUAAUACCCAGACGCGGCCCUCGCUUCUUAAAUACCUAUUACAGGAGCAGCCAAGGUAACUUCCUGAGGAUAAACUUGGUGCUGGGGAGAAAACAAAAAAACAACAAAAAAUCCCACCAUCGCGUUAUGUAAGUUUCUAUUUUAAAAUCAUCUGGUUCUAAUUUGCUAACGUUUAACGCUUUCUAGCUAAUGCCAAAAGCGCUACGUUUGAUUUAUGGAAAUACUUCAGCACAUUUUUCCAUCGCGGCCUUGUACAAUAUAGUUACCACCCCCUUUUGUUAUGGUUAGAAAGAUUACGGGCCUUAAAACAGCCUCCUUUAUGAGCUCGCCGAUAUUUUAUCAUAAAAUUCCGUAAGCUGGAGUGAAGUAGUGUAGCAGCAGUAUUUGGAGACCAUUCCACAGGGUUCAACUUUAUUUUCCUUUUUUUCCUAUUUAACAAAAUGCUCCAUCUGGAAAGUGGAUGCUCAAAAACUUUCACUAUGCGGAACCACUUCUUUUCAUGGCAGACAGUAUUUUUUUUUUUCUUUCUUUCUUUGGGGAUGGUGGUGGCCGGGGCAGGGGUAGAUGUUUAGACACGUGUCACACCAAGCUACACUGUGGUCCAAAUAAUAGCAUCAACACCAAAGGGUAAAAGCUCGCACCGGCCCAGACUUCCUAUACGCCAUAGAGCGAGCCCUCAGAACAUUGCAGGCAAAUGGAGUGAACGUCAGAAAACCUUAUAGGUACUGUUGGUGUCUGGGGUUCAGGAGGUCAUGGCAGAGUGUGGCUCAGGCUGAUGGGACCUUAGGCUGAUGUGCAUGCUCCAAGACAGGGACCUAUAGUUCCAGAGAGAGGCAAAGGCAGACCUACUCAGGCUCCAGGAAUGAAAUGUAUUGAUCUAUUUUGUGAUGCUAGGGAUUGAAUCCUGGGCUUUAUGUUUGCUAGAUAACUCAACCACUGAGCCACAUCCUUAGUCCUUCAAUAAGUUAUAUACAGACACACACAGAUAUAAUAUAGACACAUAAUAUAUUCACUUGUAUUUAUAAUAUAGACACAAAUAAAUAUGUUAUAUAUACACAUAUAACAAAUACAACACACACACACACACACACACACACACAACACAUACUCAUUUUCAGGUGCUAUAAACUUUGGGCCUCAAGCAGUUCUCUAUCCCUGAACUCUGUUCCCAGCAGGAUUGGGCCACUUUUUAGUUCUUCUAGUCUUAAGUUUAGCCAUAUGACUCAGCAUGGUCAUUUGUUAACCACCUCAAGACACUGUACAGAACAAUCAAGGACUUCGAAGCACAUUUUGGCCUAAGCCUUUCUGACGACGUGCAGGGUCCAGUUGAGGAAGCCAUUCUUAAAGGUCACUGGACUCAGUGUGCUCUUUCGGUUUCUCUUCUCUGCAGGAAGUCAGGGUUUUCACUUCACACCCACAAAAACCAAGAUGGCUGCCCAGGAAACUGCCCCUGCUCUGCCUGGCUCAUGUAGCCCUUUAAAACGAAGAGGUUUUGUUUCUUCUCAAGCAGAGUUCAGGCAGCUCUUUGCAGUGACAACCUCCAAAAGGCAUGGAAUGAUAGCCACACUUAACUACCUAAAACAAACAAGUGGACACGACCAGCACAGCUGAGAUCUUGAAGGAACCUACUCAUCUUAUAGGCCUCCGAUGACGUAGCUCUGAGGUAAGGAAACAGUGGGGUAUUUAACUUCAGCAGGGGUAGACUACGAGAGACACUUUUCCCGAGUAUCAUGUCUGUGUGCAGCAGGACUCCAGGGAACAGGCCUUCAAAGUUGCCAACCAUCUUCAUGAUCAUGUAAUCAACAAGGCACUGGGAUGGAGACCAUUCACCCUUCAGGUUGCUGACCUCACUAUGAUUUACAUCACUAGAGAUGCUUCAGAACCCGAAGGAGGAAGGCAAUACUUUAAGCAGGAGGCAGAGAAAUUAGAAGACCAGAGAAGGGAAUGGGUGAGAAUCAGGGUGGGAGGUUGGGUGUUCUAAACAAAGAUGGCAACACAAAGGCUAGCUGUGGAUAAAUGGCACCAGAGCAUUGCUUCAAUGGGCACAAGAUUUCAGAUUCCUUUACUCAUGUGUUUUCCCUGCUUCAGAAGGGUGGGGAAACCCACUCAGCUCGAGUAAGUCCAUCUCUGCUACAGAAGGCUUUGGGACCAUGGUUGGGGAUGGUCUUAGCAGUGACCAGCUUUAGGUAGAGUCUGUUUACUUCUUGGAGGGCAAUGCAUGAAGAGAGGAGGAGAAGGUGCAUGCUCAGAGUUCCACAGUUGAAUCUACAGAAGGGGGGGCAUUCUAAGAGUGAAUCAAUCAAUGUAAGUCUUGAAAGAGUGAAGGUGAAAAGGCCUUAGCCUUGUUAGGCAGGGUGAUUCAUGGACCUAAUCACGGUGCAUGGCACACUAAGGCAGGAGGAGGUGAAUUGUAUGAUAACUGACUUGUUAGUGAGUCCACCCCUCCGGUCUCUGUGGAAAGCAGAGUCAUUGUUGUGCCGCAAUAGUUACAGGUGGCCGGGGCUGAAGCCCAGCUCACCAAGGACACUUUAGUCUUUAUCCUAGAGUCUGGUCUCCCUGGCUUCCACCGCUCUCGCCUCCCCCGUGUCACCCAGCCAUUUCUGCAGCUGUUGUUGGUAAGGGGGAUGAUAAACACACGCAUAGUUGAAGAAUGACUAGAUCACGUAGUUCUGCAUUCGUGCCGCUGCUCUGUAAACUGGGCUGGAGUAUUGAGAAACAGCCACGAGCCGCAGGACACAUCUUUGCCCUUGGUUCGUAUAUAUUGAUAUAUUUUCCCAAGCUCCUCCUUGGUGGUCCCAGGACAGUAGUCCUUUCACAGGGCUGCCCAUGGCUGAGCUAGCCUGCCAAGCCAAUGACUCCUCCCUCUCUGCUUUCUCCCUUGGAUUCCCACCCUAGGGGUAGGGGUGGGGGUGAGAGUGGGGGAGUUUGCCUUUCUUUUGUCUAAGGUGAAAAGUCAGGGUUUCCACAUCUCAAAGGAGAACUUAUUACGUGGUGAAAACAAGUUAAUCCUGCUCUUCGCCUCCAUUGAUAAAUCUUUUUACUUUUAAAAGAUGGCGUCUCAUAGAUAUCAGGCUAACCUCAGACACGCUGUGUUUAGUAUUGAUCCUCCGGCCUUCCCAAUCUCCGCUGGUCUGUGCCACCAAGCCAUUCUUCAAUCUCAUGCUUCUUUCGCCUGUCAGUGUUUCUUCUAGGAAAAGACAGACUGAGUGGAAGACACAAUGCCAUAGGCUCCAUGCUCUCAAAACCUCCAGAAACCUCAACAAAACAACUGUUUCCUCCUCUUGCUUUACUUGGGCUGUGUCAUGUCUCUUACUAUGUGCACAUCUGCAUUGGUCCUGGUUUGCAAUGAGGGUUUCUUCUCUCAUUGGACUAGGCAAGCUGUGCCUGAUGAAUUUACUUCAAGGUCAUUAACUAGAGAAAGACAGAGUCCCAUUUUUCACAAAUAGCAGUGGGCACGUCUUUCUUUCCUCCCUAACAUCAGGUUGAUUGGUUUCUUGCGGCCUUCUCCACUGUCCUUGGCUUACACAGCCCCUAGAAAUAUGUGACCAAGGUUCAGAGCCAAAAAAGUGAGACUACAGAGGAUUCUCUGUGUUCAAGAAAGAAUAGCUGGGAGCUGCCCUGGGAGGUCCUCUUCCUGUUACUGGCUUCAUUCUGGUCAUACUUCAAUGCACACUCCCUCAAGGGGGCAAAGAACACUGUUCAUCCCAUACACACAUUGGAUUGGUUUAACUCCUCCUAGUCCCUUGUAACUGCCUGCUCUCUUUUCCCUUCUCUCCAGGUUCAACUAAUUGCUUCUCUCUGGACCCCGAAACCAUUGGCCUGUGCAUGCCUGAGCCUGCCUCCUCCAGCAGCAGCAAGGUCUAGGGAGUGUUGGUCACUAGGCUCUAUUUCUUUUUAUAGAUUAUUAGCAGAUCUUCAAAGCAACCAUGGGCUUUGUGUUAGCCAAUGGGAAGAAGAAGAGUGUGUCUUUUUAACUGUUGCCUCGUUAACCUGGUUCCUUGAAGGUAAACAAGGAUAAAGUAGAGAUAUGUUAGGACCCUUGUAAUAUUGAGAAUCACAUAGGUAUAUGAUUACCUACAUCCAUAUUUUUGCAUAUUUAAACCUAGUAGAUGUAUUUUUGUUGUUUGAUCUGACUUUUUCUUUUUUUUAAAUUUUUUGAGAUAGUCCUUAGGCUAACCUCAAAAUUGCUAGAUAGUUGAGGAAUGUUUCAAAUUUCUGAUGCUAGUAUUCUAAGUGAGAGCCACCAUACCCAGACCUAACAGAUACAUUCUUGAAAAUUAUAUUUAUAUAUAUACACAUAUAUAUAUACACACACAUACAUACACACACAUAUAUAUGUAAAUGUAUACACACACAUAUUAAAAAACAGGGUUGUAAAUAAAUAGUGCCUCUCUCUGCUUAGCUUUUACCAAAACAAGUCCAUACCAAGGGAUCGAGUUUGCUUAUGGAGAGGGCAGUCUAGAUCGUGACAAAUGCCAUACACACGCACACACAAUGAGUGCCUCGGAGGCCAAGGCUUGUGACCGUAUCUCUGCCGACUCCCUCAUAAUGUUCAUUACACGGUCCCACCCUGGGCUGAACUCCAUGCUCCCUUUCCAGCUGGCAGAGUUCAUCCUGUUAGUAGUGACUCAGUAUGACUUCAUUUAUUUCAAGGCUUUGAGUCAAUAGCAAGACCCACAUUCCCCAAGGCAUUAUUUGCACAACUGGAGGCAGAAAUGAACACCCAGUAACACGGAGGGCACCUGUAUCCUUAGAGAAUCACCUGGUCUGGGCUUGCUCUUUGGGUAACACCUCUAUCCACCCAAACAGCCUCCUUUCCACACGGGCCAGGAUGAACAAACAAGAAUCUGAAGUGCUCUGUGUUCUUUUGUGUGUGACUGGGUCUUUCCUCUCUAGAACUUUCCGAGUUGCCCGCACAAAGGGCCCUUCCCUAUCCAGAGUUGCUAUACCCCUUUCUCAUGGUGCCACUUAGCCAAAUGCUACGAUGAGAAAACUGUGGGCUCUUUUGUCUGUGUUCUUUGUUUCAGAGCAAAACCAAACUGUUGUAUUGAGAGCCAGUUGCAAGAGUCCCUCUCAGCAUGAAGCCCAGGAACCAGCUUAGAACUGAAGUCAUUGUUUGCUCUGAGCGUCACUGAAACACUUCAAGUUUGCACGUAUUCUCAUCUCAAAGUUUUACGGGAGUAAUAAAGGUGGUUUAUUACCACAGAUAUGCUUUCAGACUGAUAAUAUGGCCCCUGAUCCAUCUGACCCUGUGGACGGGGAGUGUCCCUACAUCUGUUCUGUAGGGUCACCCAGGCUGUGCCCUUAGAUUCUUACUCAGACUUGGAAACGAUGCCCCAGUCACGAGUCACACAUCAGCCCUUGGUACAAGGUUAAUGCAGCGGGGAUCACAAACUCUGGGUCCUUCCAACAGGCAAGGGUGUGACAUUAUGGCUAAACCUCACUUUAUUGCAGCCGUCUACAGUGCUUCCUGCUCUCCAGGAGGAUGAAUGCCUGGGAGUUCCCCCUGAAAAGUUCCGUGAUCCAUGCCUCAGUCCAUGUGCCCCUUGAGCCCGCUGUGUUUAAAGAACCAUCCUCCAAGUAGGUAGCGCUGAGCUGAGCACGGCCCAUUGCAGCAUAGGGAGAACCACAGCACAUCUGUCCAGACGGGCAGACCCCAUGCUUCCCGAACAUCAAAUGCCAGCGAGAAUGUAGAAGACAAAGGGGUCUUUGUGCAUGGUUGGAUGGAAGGAAACGGGUGUCGCCAUUAUGAAAAAAAAAUGGUAUGCAGAUGCUUCAAAAAAUUGAAAACAGAGUUAGCAUAUGAUAGAGUAAUCCUACUACUGGAUAUCUGUCCAAAGGAAGUGAACUUAGCAUGUCAAAAGUUAUCUGUAUCCUCCUUGUCCCUGCUGCACUGUUGGCAACAGAAAGAUCUGGAAACAACUGGUAUAUUUGCUGAUAAAUGACGUGACGAGGAAUACACA